AGUCCAUGGUGUGGGUAUUUCUGAAUCAACACUUUAAAGUGCUCCCAAGCUUCAUGGAAACUUUCUCCUUCUAAUUUCUUAAACGUAGCAAUCUCUCUCCUUAGCU
Gossypium raimondii (Peruvian cotton) is the source of this 106-nucleotide small nucleolar RNA. It matches the Rfam family "Plant small nucleolar RNA R71". Rfam says of the family: R71 is a member of the C/D box family of snoRNAs containing the C (UGAUGA) and D (CUGA) box motifs. The record is from Rfam. Lineage: Eukaryota; Viridiplantae; Streptophyta; Magnoliopsida; Malvales; Malvaceae.